Small nucleolar RNA from Hippopotamus amphibius kiboko, 131 nucleotides. RefSeq annotates it as small nucleolar RNA SNORA72. The record is from RefSeq and is a predicted model, not a curated record. Lineage: Eukaryota; Metazoa; Chordata; Mammalia; Artiodactyla; Hippopotamidae. The transcript has a single exon.
CAGUGAAGAGUCUCACUGUUCUGAUUUUGUAAUAAUCAGGGCAGGCUAAACAUUCGCUAUAUGAAGACCAUGCAUAUGUCCAAAGAUCUAAUACUUCUCUAGGUCUAGUUUUAUAAAUACUGAUGAUAAAC